AAGUCGUAACAAGGUUUCCGUAGGUGAACCUGCGGAAGGAUCAUUAAAAAUCAUAAAAAAGUAAUUGGGUGACGGGUAUAGGGUGACGCAUGGGGGAAAACUUGGGAGAGGGUGUUGGGUGAGGGUGGGUAAAAACUUGGGUAAAAACUUGGCUUGAAUGUUUUGGCUUGGAUGGACAGAGGGAAUGGCAAAACAUAAUAAACUAUAAUGUUUGAUGAGACUAUAAACAUCAGAUCACUUUUAACAAUGGAUCUCUAGGCUCUU
RNAcentral lists this unclassified non-coding RNA (264 nucleotides) under fungal sp. RNAcentral's name for it is "partial internal transcribed spacer region". The stretch from base 1 to 46 matches the Rfam family "Eukaryotic small subunit ribosomal RNA", at positions 1786 to 1831 of the family's 1831-position model. The record is from RNAcentral. Lineage: Eukaryota; Fungi.